GAACGCUGGCGGCGUGCCUAAUACAUGCAAGUAGAACGCUGAAGAGAGGAGCUUGCUCUUCUUGGAUGAGUUGCGAACGGGUGAGUAACGCGUAGGUAACCUGCCUUGUAGCGGGGGAUAACUAUUGGAAACGAUAGCUAAUACCGCAUAACAAUGGGUGACACAUGUCAUUUAUUUGAAAGGGGCAAUUGCUCCACUACAAGAUGGACCUGCGUUGUAUUAGCUAGUAGGUGAGGUAACGGCUCACCUAGGCGACGAUACAUAGCCGACCUGAGAGGGUGAUCGGCCACACUGGGACUGAGACACGGCCCAGACUCCUACGGGAGGCAGCAGUAGGGAAUCUUCGGCAAUGGGGGCAACCCUGACCGAGCAACGCCGCGUGAGUGAAGAAGGUUUUCGGAUCGUAAAGCUCUGUUGUAAGUCAAGAACGAGUGUGAGAGUGGAAAGUUCACACUGUGACGGUAGCUUACCAGAAAGGGACGGCUAACUACGUGCCAGCAGCCGCGGUAAUACGUAGGUCCCGAGCGUUGUCCGGAUUUAUUGGGCGUAAAGCGAGCGCAGGCGGUUUGAUAAGUCUGAAGUUAAAGGCUGUGGCUCGACCAUAGUUCGCUUUGGAAACUGUCAAACUUGAGUGCAGAAGGGGAGAGUGGAAUUCCAUGUGUAGCGGUGAAAUGCGUAGAUAUAUGGAGGAACACCGGUGGCGAAAGCGGCUCUCUGGUCUGUAACUGACGCUGAGGCUCGAAAGCGUGGGGAGCGAACAGGAUUAGAUACCCUGGUAGUCCACGCCGUAAACGAUGAGUGCUAGGUGUUGGAUCCUUUCCGGGAUUCAGUGCCGCAGCUAACGCAUUAAGCACUC
This 856-nucleotide ribosomal RNA is filed under the name uncultured Streptococcus sp. RNAcentral describes it as "bacterial SSU rRNA". It matches the Rfam family "Bacterial small subunit ribosomal RNA", at positions 31 to 869 of the family's 1533-position model. The record is from RNAcentral. Lineage: Bacteria; Bacillati; Bacillota; Bacilli; Lactobacillales; Streptococcaceae.